GAACAACGCUGGCGGCGUGCCUAAUGCAUGCAAGUCGGACGGGAACCACUUCGGUGGUCGACCGUGGCGGACGGGUGAGGAACACGUGGAGAACCUGCCCCUAGGCGGGGGAUAACGCCGGGAAACCGGUGGUAAGACCCCAUGGACUUGAUUGGUGUUAGGCUGAUCAAGCAAAACCCGCAAGGGUGCGUAGGGAGGGCUCUGCGACCUAUCAGCUAGUUGGUGGGGUAGCGGCCUACCAAGGCGAUGACGGGUAGCUGGUCUGAGAGGACGAUCAGCCACACGGGGACUGAGACACGGCCCCGACUCCUACGGGAGGCAGCAGCAAGGAAUUUUCCGCAAUGGCGCAAGCCUGACGGAGCGACGCCGCGUGGA
RNAcentral lists this ribosomal RNA (375 nucleotides) under uncultured bacterium. RNAcentral describes it as "bacterial SSU rRNA". It matches the Rfam family "Bacterial small subunit ribosomal RNA", at positions 32 to 405 of the family's 1533-position model. The record is from RNAcentral.